GACAGUGCUGAUGAAGGUUGAGC
This 23-nucleotide non-coding RNA is filed under the name Cricetulus griseus (Chinese hamster). The record is from RNAcentral. Lineage: Eukaryota; Metazoa; Chordata; Mammalia; Rodentia; Cricetidae.